This 406-nucleotide ribosomal RNA is filed under the name uncultured bacterium. RNAcentral describes it as "partial 16S ribosomal RNA". It matches the Rfam family "Bacterial small subunit ribosomal RNA", at positions 30 to 526 of the family's 1533-position model. The record is from RNAcentral.
AUUGAACGCUGGCGGCAGGCCUAACACAUGCAAGUAGAGCGAGGGGCGGACGGGUGAGUAAUGUCUGGGAAACUGCCUGAUGGGGGGGGAUAAAUACUGGAAACGGUCGCUAAUACCGCAUACCAUCAGAUGUGCCCAGAUGGGAUUCGCUUGUGGGUGGGGUAAUGGCUCACCCAGGAGACGAUCCCUAGCUGGUCUGAGAGGAUGACCAGCCACACUGUAACUGAGACACGGUCCAGACUCCUACGGGAGGCAGCAGUGGGGAAUAUUGCACAAUGGGCGCAAGCCUGAUGCAGCCAUGCCGCGUGUGUGAAGAAGGCCUUCGGGUUGUAAAGCACUUUCAGCGAGGAGGCGUUACUCGCAGAAGAAGCACCGGCUAACUCCGUGCCAGCAGCCGCGGUAAUAC